GUUUUAAUAGUUUAAAAAAAACAUUAGUCUUGUAAACUAAAAAUAAAAAAAAUUUUUUUUAAAACU
Molecule: transfer RNA, 66 nt
Filed under: Culiseta inconspicua
Lineage: Eukaryota; Metazoa; Arthropoda; Insecta; Diptera; Culicidae
Also listed under: 1 other name
Description: tRNA-Thr
Rfam family: tRNA
About the family: Transfer RNA (tRNA) molecules are approximately 80 nucleotides in length. Their secondary structure includes four short double-helical elements and three loops (D, anti-codon, and T loops).
Source: RNAcentral